CACGCCUAAUAGAAUGACUAAAUUUUUAAAAAACUGGCAAUAUCAAGUUUUUGGAAAAAGAUGCUGAGCAACUACAACUCUUACAUGUUGCUGAUACAAAUGCUUGGAAACCAAUCUGGCAGUUUCUCCUAAAGUUAAAUGUAUGCUUAGCUUACCAUUAUGACCCAGCAAUUCCACUCUUGGGUAUCUACUCAAGAGAGCUGAAAAUGUAUGUUCACACAUAAGUGUCAGUAAAUGUUUACAGUACUUUUAUUCAUAAUCACUAAAAGUUGGAAAUAGCCUCCUUCAACUAAUGAAUUGUUAAACUGUGGCUUAUUCUUUUUAUAUCAUACAUUAAUAUAGUUUUCCUAUCAGAAUCUGUUUCUGAUUUAUUAAAUUGAUCUGUCUAUAUUAUACAAUACUUAAAGUUUUAAUAACUGAAGCUUUAUCAUGUGUUUCACUAAUGUAUUACCCUUCUUUACAUUUUCUUUUAGUUGUUCACAGGUAUGUUCCCAUCGGAACUUUGUUGCCAUAUUUCUUCCCAAAAAAAUCCUAUUGUAAUUUCCCCAAUAAUUCCACUAAUUCUGAAAGUUAAUGUGUCAAGAACUGGUAGCUUUAUAAUAUUCAGUUUUCCCAUCUAUGAGCACUUAUACAUUUCUCCAUCUAUUCAGUCUUCUUUUAUAUUCCUCCGUGAAAUUAUAUUCCUCGUAACUAAAAAUUACAUCUAUAUAAGUUUCAUACAUACCUUGGUGAGAUUAUCUCUAACCUUUUCAUCAUUAGCAGUAAUGGUUAAAACUGUGAUCUUUUUUCCCCAUUAUCUCUUCUAGUUAGUAUCAGUUAGUAAUACUUAUCAACUUGGAUUUCUUGGUAUAGUCAUUUUGGUGAACUUUCUUAUUAUUUCUAAUGUUUUUUCCCUUGAUUCUUUUAAGUAAGACUUCUAUUUUUAAGUUACAUAGAGUGAGUCCCACUGAAGGUCAUGUCUUACCUGGCUAACAACAAUAGAUACAAUUUUGAGUUCUUCUCAACCACAACCGUUUGUUGGUAAAAUAGAACAAAACCAUUUCACACCACUGCUCAUUUUAAUCCCUAGGUCAACCUUAUUAUUAACUGUAAUAAAAUAAUUGCCAUUUACUAUUACCUACCAUGACUCAACCUUUGUCAGACAUUUUACUUGCAAGAACAUUUAGCUGCACAACAACCUUGCAAUGGUUGUUUAUAAACAGGAAAACUAGAACUUAAAGAAGCUAGGUACUUCCCCAUGACCACAGAGUUACAGUAAGUGGUUGAGACAGCACUCAAACCCCAGGUUUAUCUAACUCCAACACUGUUCCUCAUUCCACUUUACCACAGAGCUUUCUUCCUUUAAAAGAUGGGAUGGAAAGAAGGGGCAAAACAAAA
Molecule: long non-coding RNA, 1377 nt
Organism: Phyllostomus discolor (pale spear-nosed bat)
Lineage: Eukaryota; Metazoa; Chordata; Mammalia; Chiroptera; Phyllostomidae
Exons: 2
Source: RefSeq, a predicted model, not a curated record